This 72-nucleotide transfer RNA is filed under the name Vespula rufa. RNAcentral's name for it is "tRNA-Tyr". Lineage: Eukaryota; Metazoa; Arthropoda; Insecta; Hymenoptera; Vespidae. The record is from RNAcentral.
UAAUUAAUAAUGAAAAUUAAAUGUUAAAUACUAUGUCUGAUUAAAGUAAUAAAUUGUAAAUUUAUUUAAGAA